GUGGCUUUUAUAAAAGUGAUAAAUGUAUUUAAGUUUUUAUUUAAACACAAUUUGAAAUUAAAUUUCGUAAAACAUCUUUUACCACGACUUAAAUAUGAUUAGUAAUCUGUUAAACCUAAAUGCGGUCAAAUGGCUAUUUAACUUUACUAAACACAUUUAUCUACUGUCAUGGCGUCAGUCGCGGCGACCAGCUGACCGACCGGCUGUCAAGAGAACUUUUCCAUUUCUAGCAUUUUUCCUCAGUGAUGUCUAGUUGUAGUCUGUGAGAGAUUCAGAGGUCAUUGUUCAGAGGUUAUGUUGAGGUUAUCUAAUAAAUAAUGUAUUUGUGGGAUAUUUUGUUUGAUGACGAUGAUGAAGAAUUACUUCUCUUUAUGAAUAGACCUCGCUCAUUACGCUAUAUUGCAGAAAGAACUAACUUAUUUGAGACACUACCGGAUAAAACAUUUGUUAGGAGAUUUCGUUUGACAAAACAAACUGUAUCGCUUCUACUACAAGAAAUUCAACAACAUCUUGAAUUUAUUUCCACCAGAAAUAAUGCAGUUACUCCAAUGAACCAGUUGUUAUGCACACUCCGAUAUUAUGCAACUGGCAGUCAGUUAAUUACUUGUGGAGAUGUGAUAGGUGUGGAAGAACCAACAGCAGCUUGCAGAAUCAUUCAUAGAGUUACUCAUGCAAUAGCAUUAUUGUAUAAAAAAUACAUUAAAUCUCCUGAUACCAUUCAGGAACAACGUUUUUUUGCUCUCUAUAAUGUGCAAGUAUGGUUCCAAUACAUUGCACAAUAAAUCUUGUUCUUCCCUUGUAAAAUUAGGGGCACGAACACGAGAAGAAGUUGCUUGACUAUUCAUUUUACUUUGAAAUCACAACAACAAAUAAAUACAAACACCACCACGCGGUGAAAGCCGAAAUAAGUUUUGUUUUGAAAUAAAUAGUGUUAUUUUGUCUAUGUUUGAAAUUGAUAGAUUAACUCCGUUUUACGCUGAGUCGUUUCGAAUGUUCAAUAAAAAAUAUGAAGUCUCUCAUUAAAAAGAUGUGGAACUGAACGUAAAUAACAAAUCGCAGGAUGCUAAACGCAUUUAACUAAAUAGUAAUCGAAAUACCAUGGUGAAUUAUGAAGCUAAACAUGUUUAGGAUAAAAUUGUUUAGUGCAUUAAACGCAAUUAGCUAAAUGAAUUUAUGUAGUAUUUAAAUAGAAGUUCGUAACAGCCACCCUUAGAUAAGUA
Long non-coding RNA from Plutella xylostella (diamondback moth), 1220 nucleotides. RefSeq lists it as uncharacterized. The record is from RefSeq and is a predicted model, not a curated record. Lineage: Eukaryota; Metazoa; Arthropoda; Insecta; Lepidoptera; Plutellidae.